AGGGUUCGAUUAUGGCUCAGGACGAACGCUGGCGGCGUGCUUAACACAUGCAAGUCGAACGGGAGGACAUGGGAAGCUUGCUUCCUAUGGACUCUAGUGGCAAACGGGUGAGUAACGCGUAAGCAACCUGCCCUCCGGAUGGGGACAACAGCUGGAAACGGCUGCUAAUACCGAAUGCGUUUUAGCUAUCGCAUGAUAGUUAAAAGAAAGGUGGCCUCUGAAUAUGCUACCGCCGGGGGAGGGGCUUGCGUCUGAUUAGCUGGUUGGAGGGGUAACGGCCCACCAAGGCGACGAUCAGUAGCCGGUCUGAGAGGAUGAACGGCCACAUUGGAACUGAGACACGGUCCAG
RNAcentral lists this ribosomal RNA (349 nucleotides) under uncultured bacterium. Its description in RNAcentral is "bacterial SSU rRNA". It matches the Rfam family "Bacterial small subunit ribosomal RNA", at positions 8 to 334 of the family's 1533-position model. The record is from RNAcentral.